CCUACGGGUGGCUGCAGUGGGGAAUAUUGCACAAUGGGGGGAACCCUGAUGCAGCGACGCCGCGUGAGUGAAGAAGUAUUUCGGUAUGUAAAGCUCUAUCAGCAGGGCAGAAAAUGACGGUACCUGACUAAGAAGCCCAGGCUAACUACGUGCCAGCAGCCGCGGUAAGACGUAGGGUGCAAGCGUUAUCCGGAUUUACUGGGUGUAAAGGGAGCGGAGACGGUGCAGCAAGUCUGAUGUGAAAUGUCGGGGCGCAACCCCGGGACUGCAUUGGAAACUGGUGGACUGGAGUACAGGAGAGGUAAGCGGAAUUCCUGGUGUAGCGGUGAAAUGCGUAGAGAUUAGGAGGAACACCAGUGGCGAAGGCGGCUGACUGGACUGUAACUGACGUUGAGGCUCGAAAGCGUGGGGAGCAAACAGGAUUAGAUACCCGAGUAGUC
Molecule: ribosomal RNA, 440 nt
Filed under: uncultured bacterium
Lineage: Bacteria
Description: partial 16S ribosomal RNA
Rfam family: Bacterial small subunit ribosomal RNA
Source: RNAcentral